This 479-nucleotide long non-coding RNA is filed under the name Coturnix japonica (Japanese quail). RNAcentral describes it as "lncRNA (ENSCJPG00005001116.1)". Lineage: Eukaryota; Metazoa; Chordata; Aves; Galliformes; Phasianidae. The record is from RNAcentral.
GUUUUAGGGCAAAUUUGGGGCAGAUUUGGGGUUUUGGUGUCAGAUUUGGGGCUUUUUGGGUCAGAUUUGGGGUUUUUUGGGUCCAACUUGGGUCAGAUUUGGGGUUUUUGGGGUGAAAAUUGAUGUUUUUGGCAGCGGAUUUGGGGCAGAUUUAGGGGUUUUUGGGUCCAAUUUGGGGCAGAUUUAGGGCUUUUUUGGGGUUUUGGGGUGAAAAUUGAUGUUUUUGGCAGCGGGUUUGGGGCGGAUUUAGGGGUUUUAGGGCAAAUUUGGGGCUUUUUAGGGGCCAAUUUGGGGCUUUUUUGGGGCUUUUUGGGUCAGAUUUGGGGUUUUUGGCGUGAAAAUUGAUGUAUUUGACGGCGGAUUUGGGGCAGAUUUAGGGGUUUUGGGGCCAAUUUGGGGCAGAUUUGGGGGUUUUAGGGACAGAUUUGGGGUUAUUGGGGUCUUUUGGGGUCCAAAUUGGGUCAGAUUUGGGAUUUUUG